GAGGAAUAUUGGUCAAUGGUCGCAAGACUGAACCAGCCAUGCCGCGUGAAGGAUGACGGCCCUAUGGGUUGUAAACUUCUUUUAUACAAGAAUAAACCCCUCUACGUGUAGAGGGCUGAAGGUACUGUAUGAAUAAGCACCGGCUAACUCCGUGCCAGCAGCCGCGGUAAUACGGAGGGUGCAAGCGUUAUCCGGAAUCAUUGGGUUUAAAGGGUGCGCAGGCGGGACUUUAAGUCAGUGGUGAAAUCCCUUCGCUUAACGAAGGAACUGCCAUUGAUACUGAAGUUCUUGAAUUUAGUUGGCGUGGGCGGAAUGUGCCAUGUAGCGGUGAAAUGCUUAGAUAUGGCACAGGACACCGAUCGCGAAGGCAGCUCACGAAACUAAUAUUGACGCUCAGGCACGAAAGCAUGGGGAGCAAA
Molecule: ribosomal RNA, 419 nt
Filed under: uncultured bacterium
Lineage: Bacteria
Description: bacterial SSU rRNA
Rfam family: Bacterial small subunit ribosomal RNA
Source: RNAcentral